Molecule: ribosomal RNA, 200 nt
Filed under: uncultured bacterium
Lineage: Bacteria
Description: partial 16S ribosomal RNA
Rfam family: Bacterial small subunit ribosomal RNA
Source: RNAcentral
AGAGUUUGAUCCUGGCUCAGAAUGAACGUUGGCGGCGUGGAUUAGGCAUGCAAGUCGAACGGGCCGGGCCGCAAGGCCCGGUCAGUGGCGCAAGGGUGAGUAAGGCGACGGUAACCAACCCCAUGGUCGGGCAUAGCCGCGGGAAACUGCGGGUAAUUCCCAGCGACGUCCCGGGCGGGCAUCCGCUCAGGACCAAAGCU